GACGAACGCUGGCGGCGUGCCUAAUACAUGCAAGUUGAGCGAUGAAGAUUGGUGCUUGCACCAAUUUGAAGAGCAGCGAACGGGUGAGUAACGCGUGGGGAAUCUGCCUUUGAGCGGGGGACAACAUUUGGAAACGAAUGCUAAUACCGCAUAACAACUUUAAACAUAAGUUUUAAGUUUGAAAGAUGCAAUUGCAUCGCUCAAAGAUGAUCCCGCGUUGUAUUAGCUAGUUGGUGAGGUAAAGGCUCACCAAGGCGAUGAUACAUAGCCGACCCGAGAGGGUGAUCGGCCACAUUGGGACUGAGACACGGCCCAAACUCCUACGGGAGGCAGCAGUAGGGAAUCUUCGGCAAUGGACGAAAGUCUGACCGAGCAACGCCGCGUGAGUGAAGAAGGUUUUCGGAUCGUAAAACUCUGUUGGUAGAGAAGAACGUUGGUGAGAGUGGAAAGCUCAUCAAGUGACGGUAACUACCCAGAAAGGGACGGCUAACUACGUG
This 497-nucleotide ribosomal RNA is filed under the name uncultured bacterium. Its description in RNAcentral is "partial 16S ribosomal RNA". It matches the Rfam family "Bacterial small subunit ribosomal RNA", at positions 28 to 507 of the family's 1533-position model. The record is from RNAcentral.